GUCUAGCUCGUGUGGUUAGCCAUGCUUGUCUCACCCAGUAGACCAGGGUUCGAAUCCCUGGCUACACA
RNAcentral lists this transfer RNA (68 nucleotides) under Hordeum vulgare. Its description in RNAcentral is "tRNA-Sec". The record is from RNAcentral. Lineage: Eukaryota; Viridiplantae; Streptophyta; Magnoliopsida; Poales; Poaceae.